This 1561-nucleotide ribosomal RNA is filed under the name Cnephaeus hottentotus (long-tailed house bat). RNAcentral's name for it is "16S ribosomal RNA". It matches the Rfam family "Bacterial large subunit ribosomal RNA". Lineage: Eukaryota; Metazoa; Chordata; Mammalia; Chiroptera; Vespertilionidae. The record is from RNAcentral.
AACUAAACAUAGCUCGAAACUUAACCCUUAUGAAACUACUAAAACAAAUUCAAAUAAAACAUUAACUAAAUUAAAGUAUUAGGUGAUAGAAAUUUUAUACGACGCUAUAGAGAAAGUACCGCAAGGGAAUGUCUGAAAGAAUAUUAAAAGUAUAAAACAGCAAAGCUUAAGACUUGUACCUUUUGCAUAAUGACUUAACUAGAAGAUAUUGGCAAAGAGAACUGAAGUCAAGUAUCCCGAAACCAGACGAGCUACCUAUAUAGCAGCUCAAAGAGCAAAUCCGUCUAUGUAGCAAAAUAGUGGAGUGACUAUUAGGUAGAGGUGAUAAGCCUAUCGAGCCUGGUGAUAGCUGGUUAUCCAGAACAGAAUCUUAGUUCUAACUUAAGCAUGCAAAAAAAUAAACAAAUUAUAAUGCAGGCUUAAAAAAUAGCCUAAAAGGGUACAGCCCUUUAGGCUAGGGAUACAACCCCAACUAGAGAGUAAGACAUAAAUAUUAACCACAAUAGUUGGCCUAAAAGCAGCCACCAAAUAAGAAAGCAUUCAAGCCCAAAAGCACUUAAAGUUAAUUCAAAUAAUCAAACCAAUACUCCUAAUAUAAAACUGGAUUGUUCUAUUUAUAAAUAGAAGUAAUAAUGUUAACAUGAGUAACAAGAAAUAAUUCUCCCUACACAUGUGUAUAUCAAAACGAAUAAAUCACUGAUAGUUACCAAAAUAAACAUAAACAAUUAAUUAAAUACUCACUAUUGAUUGUUAGUCCAACACAGGAGUGUAAUCAGGGAAAGAUUUAAAAAAGUAAAAGGAACUCGGCAAACACAAACCCCGCCUGUUUACCAAAAACAUCACCUCUAGCAUAAAAAGUAUUAGAGGCACUGCCUGCCCAGUGACCUUGGUUUAACGGCCGCGGUAUUCUGACCGUGCAAAGGUAGCAUAAUCACUUGUUCCCUAAAUAGGGACUUGUAUGAACGGCCUUACGAGGGUUUUACUGUCUCUUACUUUAAAUCAGUGAAAUUGACAUCCCCGUGAAGAGGCGAGGAUUAAAAAAUAAGACGAGAAGACCCUAUGGAGCUUUAAUUAAUCAGUCUACAAAAUAUAAAUCAAUCUAAAAAGAAAUAAAAAACUUCAACUGGACUGACAAUUUAGGUUGGGGUGACCUCGGAAUAAAAAAUAACUCCCGAGAAAGUUUUAUUAAGACUUACUAGUCAAAAUUAUCUCACUAUAUAUUGAUCCACCAUCUGGUGAUCAACGAAACAAGUUACCCUAGGGAUAACAGCGCAAUCCUAUUUAAGAGUUCAUAUCGACAAUUAGGGUUUACGACCUCGAUGUUGGAUCAGGACAUCCUAAUGGUGCAGCAGCUAUUAAUGUGUUCGUUUGUUCAACGAUUAAAGUCCUACGUGAUCUGAGUUCAGACCGGAGUAAUCCAGGUCGGUUUCUAUCUAUUUUUAAGUCCCUCCCAGUACGAAAGGACAAGAGAGACGGGGCCCACUUAAAACUAAGUGCCCUAAUAAAAUAAAUGAAUUAAUAUUAAUUUCACUAUAUUAAAUUGUGCCCAAGAUAAGGGCUU